AUGGAUGGCGUCGACCGGGAGAGGCGCAGGUCGCGUGUCGUCGCCGCGCAGCGCACGGUCGGUCCUGGGCAUUUCGUCGCGGUAGGGGGCGCGGCAUCUCAGGGGCGAGAUGAGAUCUUUAUGGGUGGCAGUGGCGGUACGGCCCCGGAGCACGUGAUUGCGGAGAGCGGAGAGGAACACUCGCGGUCUCGCACCGGCCAGAUUGUUGUUUGCUUGGGUUGGGUACUUGCGUUGCGUACCACCAGGGCGCAGAAAACAAAUGGGACAAGAUCGCUAGCAUACCCGGAUGAAGGCGGCUACAGCCUACCGUAUGUGAGAUCGCACUCUGCUUAUGAUUUUUUGUGUGGCGUACUUCCCUUUUAUUUUUUAUAUCUAGCAGAUAGUUAUACUCUAUUCUCUCCAAAAUAUAGCUCUUGUUUCAAAAGAGAGCACUCUCUCUAACUUGGAAUGU
This 451-nucleotide long non-coding RNA is filed under the name Oryza sativa Indica Group (long-grained rice). RNAcentral describes it as "lncRNA OsMH63_03G003440". Lineage: Eukaryota; Viridiplantae; Streptophyta; Magnoliopsida; Poales; Poaceae. The record is from RNAcentral.